AUGACGAAGCGCACCAAGAAGGCUGGUAUUGUCGGCAAAUAUGGUACCCGUUAUGGUGCCAGUUUGCGUAAGCAGAUCAAGAAGAUGGAGGUGUCUCAGCACUCCAAGUACUUCUGUGAGUUCUGUGGGAAGUUUGCUGUGAAGAGGAAAGCAGUUGGAAUUUGGGGAUGCAAGGACUGUGGGAAGGUGAAGGCUGGCGGUGCUUACACUAUGAAGUAUGUUCUCAUCAUCUGCUUCUCAUUUUUUCCAAAUUACCCAUUGGUUUGCCCAUAUUAUGUUGCUGAUCUUGCAAUAUGUGUUUGCAGCACUGCCAGUGCGGUCACUGUCAGGAGCACUAUCCGUCGUUUGAGGGAGCAGACUGAAGCAUAA
Molecule: ribosomal RNA, 369 nt
Filed under: Triticum aestivum (bread wheat)
Lineage: Eukaryota; Viridiplantae; Streptophyta; Magnoliopsida; Poales; Poaceae
Description: partial small subunit ribosomal RNA
Source: RNAcentral